UCCUUCCGGCGGGAAAGAGCUCCUUCCGGUUUCCGGGUGUGGGGAGGAAGUCCCUCCCCCCAUGCAACAGCGUAACAUAGCGGGACGCGCCCGCGGAGUUCUGGAACCAGAAAGUCCGAAAUGAAGGUGUCAGCAGGAUCACGCUUCCUCUGAAACUCUGGCCCGAUCAACCAAAUGGACUGUAGUUGCUCUGCAUUGUUACCCAUGAGGUUCAACCAUCAGAACAUUUGGGGUUUGGUCCUGGCUGUGCCCUUCGAACCUUGAAAGAGACCCUUUAAAGUCAUUCUAAGAUGCUUGUCUGUACUUAUUCUUUGAGAGGAUCAAGAUGAAUGAAAAUGAUAUCAGAGAAAACCUCAGACCGUCAUGAAUGAAUAAAGAGGACAAACAAAAACCAGAACAGUUCCAGUGGCUACCAGAGAAGAGGUGGAUGGAAGGAUGGGUGAAAUAGAUAAAUGCGAUUAAGAGUAUACUCACCUUGACGAGCCCCGAGAAAGUCACAGAAUCGUCGGAUCAUCAUGUUGUACGCCUGAAACUAAUAUAACAUUGUGGGAUGUCUGGAGAAGACAGGUCUCCACUGAUGACCGGCAGAAGGAACUGGCACCCCCCCCCUCCCUGCGCAAACAGGUGUCAGUGGACCUGAACUUGACUGUGGAUAGGUGUGACCUCAGGCCAUCCUGAGUGGGCAUGGCGGCUUCAGAAAUGGUCAUUAAACUAUAUUGCAAAGCUGGA
Molecule: long non-coding RNA, 729 nt
Organism: Neofelis nebulosa (Clouded leopard)
Lineage: Eukaryota; Metazoa; Chordata; Mammalia; Carnivora; Felidae
Exons: 6
Source: RefSeq, a predicted model, not a curated record